GAAUAUUGGACAAUGGGCGAGAGCCUGAUCCAGCCAUCCUGCGUGAAGGAUGAAGGCCCUCUGGGUUGUAAACUUCUUUUCUGGGAGAAGAAACCACUUUCUGCGGAGGUGUUGACGGUAUCCCAGGAAUAAGCACCGGCUAACUCCGUGCCAGCAGCCGCGGCAAUACGGAGGGUGCAAGCGUUAUCCGGAAUCACUGGGUUUAAAGGGUGCGUAGGCGGCCAAAUAAGUCAGGGGUGAAAGGUACCGGCUCAACCGGUAAAUUGCCUUUGAUACUGUAUGGCUUGAAUUGAGUUGAGGUUAGCGGAAUGUGACAUGUAGCGGUGAAAUGCAUAGAUAUGUCAUAGAACACCAAUUGCGAAGGCAGCUAGCUAGACUUGUAUUGACGCUGAGGCACGAAAGCGUGGGGAGCGAACAGG
This 419-nucleotide ribosomal RNA is filed under the name uncultured bacterium. Its description in RNAcentral is "bacterial SSU rRNA". It matches the Rfam family "Bacterial small subunit ribosomal RNA", at positions 359 to 776 of the family's 1533-position model. The record is from RNAcentral.